AUGCACGCGCGUUACAAUGAGACUAUCACAUAGUUCUCCUAGUUAGAGAUUACUUAGGAAAUCUCAGAAACAGUCUCGUGAUGGGGAUUGUGUUUUGCAAUUAUCGCACAUGAACGAGGAAUGCCUUGUAGGGGUGUAUCAUUAAUGCACCCCGAAUUAGU
Molecule: ribosomal RNA, 161 nt
Filed under: uncultured Hartmannellidae
Lineage: Eukaryota; Tubulinea; Elardia; Euamoebida; Hartmannellidae
Description: partial 18S ribosomal RNA
Rfam family: Eukaryotic small subunit ribosomal RNA
Source: RNAcentral